This 492-nucleotide ribosomal RNA is filed under the name uncultured bacterium. RNAcentral describes it as "partial 16S ribosomal RNA". It matches the Rfam family "Bacterial small subunit ribosomal RNA", at positions 29 to 507 of the family's 1533-position model. The record is from RNAcentral.
AGUGAACGCUGGCGGUAGGCCUAACACAUGCAAGUCGAACGGCAGCACAGUAAGAGCUUGCGCUUACGGGUGGCGAGUGGCGGACGGGUGAGGAAUACAUCGGAAUCUACUUUUUCGUGGGGGAUAACGUAGGGAAACUUACGCUAAUACCGCAUAAGACCUACGGGUGAAAGCAGGGGAUCUUCGGACCUUGCGCGAUUGAAUGAGCCGAUGUCGGAUUAGCUAGUUGGCGGGGUAAAGGCCCACCAAGGCGACGAUCCGUAGCUGGUCUGAGAGGAUGGUCAGCCACACUGGAGCUGAGGCACGGUCCAGACUCCUACGGGAGGCAGCAGUGGGGAAUAUUGGACAAUGGGCGCAAGCCUGAUCCAGCCAUACCGCGUGGGUGAAGGAGGCCUUCGGGUUGUAAAGCCCUUUUGUUGGGAAAGAAAAGCAGCAGGUUAAUACCCCGCUGUUCUGACGGUACCCAAAGAAUAAGCACCGGCUAACUUCGUG